GACGAACGCUGGCGGCGUGCUUAACACAUGCAAGUCGAACGGAAAGGCCCUGCUUUUGUGGGGUGCUCGAGUGGCGAACGGGUGAGUAACACGUGAGUAACCUGCCCUUGACUUUGGGAUAACUUCAGGAAACUGGGGCUAAUACCGGAUAGGAGCUCCUGCUGCAUGGUGGGGGUUGGAAAGCUUCGGCGGUUGGGGAUGGACUCGCGGCUUAUCAGCUUGUUGGUGGGGUAGUGGCUUACCAAGGCUUUGACGGGUAGCCGGCCUGAGAGGGUUACCGGCCACAUUGGGACUGAGAUACGGCCCAGACUCCUACGGGAGGCAGCAGUGGGGAAUAUUGCACAAUGGGCGGAAGCCUGAUGCAGCAACGCCGCGUGCGGGAUGACGGCCUUCGGGUUGUAAACCGCUUUCGCCUGUGACGAAGCGUGAGUGACGGUAAUGGGUAAAGAAGCACCGGCUAACUACGUG
RNAcentral lists this ribosomal RNA (468 nucleotides) under uncultured bacterium. RNAcentral describes it as "partial 16S ribosomal RNA". It matches the Rfam family "Bacterial small subunit ribosomal RNA", at positions 28 to 507 of the family's 1533-position model. The record is from RNAcentral.